This is a non-coding RNA of Centropristis striata (black sea bass), 783 nucleotides long. Lineage: Eukaryota; Metazoa; Chordata; Actinopteri; Perciformes; Serranidae. The record is from the annotation of a RefSeq genome assembly.
UGAUCAACACGUACAUUUAACAGGUAAUAACAGACUUUUAUAGUUGUUCCGGUCGGCUCUUGGGACCCUGAAUCAAACAUUUUGAUACCAAAGUUUUUCAAGAACUAAAACCAAAUAAAAACUGUAUUCAAACAUCCUUAAACAAGACUCUGAUGAUGCUGAUGAUCAAUGGAUCAAUCAGUUUAUCAGAGUAAUCCAGGUCCCUGUUGGAGUCAGUCAGAGCAUUUCCAUAGAGAGCCACUUUGCAUCAGCAGCACCAUGCUCCAGUGCUCUGGGAGACUUUAUAGUCCUGAGAGUUGAACACUGGAUGACUGACAGCUGUCCUUCAUGACAACAGAAGCCACAGAAAUCCUCCUCAUCAAAAACAUGACUUUGAUCUGCGUCCUCAUCUGGACUCUCCUCUGCUGCUGCUUCACAGAGUCCAGAGGACAGGUCACAGUGACUCAGUCUGGAGCAGUGAGGUCUGCUCCGGGAGGCUCCGUCUCCAUCAGCUGUAGAACCAGUCAGGAUGUGUACUAUGAUGGUUCUGACCACAUCUUAGCUUGGUACCAACAAAAAGAUGGAGAAACUCCUAAACUGCUUAUUUACUAUGCUAGCACUCGUGAGUCAGGGACUCCAGGUCGUUUUACAGGCAGUGGAUCAAACUCUGACUUCACUCUGACCAUCAGUGGAGUUCAGGCUGAAGAUGCAGCAGUUUACUACUGUCAGAGUGGUCACUCUAUCAACAGUCAGAAUGUGUUCACACAGUGGAAAAAGCGUCGUACAAAAACCUCCCUCAGCUGA